RNAcentral lists this ribosomal RNA (274 nucleotides) under uncultured bacterium. RNAcentral's name for it is "partial 16S ribosomal RNA". It matches the Rfam family "Bacterial small subunit ribosomal RNA", at positions 523 to 796 of the family's 1533-position model. The record is from RNAcentral.
AUACGGUGGGUGCGAGCGUUAUCCGGAUUUAUUAGGUUUAAAGGGUGUGUAGGCGGGAGCCUAAGUCAGUGGUGAAAUCUCACAGCUUAACUGUGAAACUGCCAUUGAAACUGGGUUUCUUGAGUAUAGUUGAGGUAGGCGGAAUGUGUAAUGUAGCGGUGAAAUGCAUAGAUAUUACACAGAACACCGAUUGCGAAGGCAGCUUACUAAGCUAUUACUGACGCUGAUGCACGAAAGCGUGGGUAGCGAACAGGAUUAGAAACCCCGGUAGUCC